Molecule: ribosomal RNA, 617 nt
Filed under: uncultured bacterium
Lineage: Bacteria
Description: bacterial SSU rRNA
Rfam family: Bacterial small subunit ribosomal RNA
Source: RNAcentral
GUGCCACCAGCCGCGGUAAUACGGAGGGUGCGAGCGUUAAUCGGAAUUACUGGGCGUAAAGCGCGCGUAGGCGGCUUGUUAAGCUGGAUGCGAAAUCCCCGGGCUCAACCUGGGACUUGCACCCGGAACUGGCAGGCUAGAGUACGGUAGAGGUGAGUGGAAUUUCCUGUGUAGCGGUGAAAUGCGUAGAUAUAGGAAGGAACACCAGUGGCGAAGGCGGCUCACUGGACUGAUACUGACGCUGAGGUGCGAAAGCGUGGGGAGCAAACUGGAUUAGAUACCCUGGUAGUCCACGCCGUAAACGAUGUCGACUAGCCGUUGGGGAGCUUGACUUCUUAGUGGCGCAGCUAACGCGAUAAGUCGACCGCCUGGGGAGUACGGCCGCAAGGUUAAAACUCAAAUGAAUUGACGGGGGCCCGCACAAGCGGUGGAGCAUGUGGUUUAAUUCGAUGCAACGCGAAGAACCUUACCAGGUCUUGACAUCCUCGGAACUUGGCAGAGAUGCCUUGGUGCCUUCGGGAGCCGAGAGACAGGUGCUGCAUGGCUGUCGUCAGCUCGUGUCGUGGGAUGUUGGGUUAAGUCCCGUAACGAGCGCAACCCUUUGUCCUUAGUUGCUA